ACGAACGCUGGCGGCGUGCCUAAUACAUGCAAGUCGAACGAACCGCGACUAGGUGCUUGCACUUGGUCAAGGUGAGUGGCGAACGGGUGAGUAACACGUGGGUAACCUACCUCAUAGUGGGGGAUAACAGUCGGAAACGACUGCUAAUACCGCAUAGGACAUAGGAUCACAUGAUCCAGUGAGGAAAGGUGGCGCAAGCUAUCGCUAAGAGAUGGACCCGCGGUGCAUUAGCUAGUUGGUAGGGUAAAGGCCUACCAAGGCGAUGAUGCAUAGCCGACCUGAGAGGGUGAUCGGCCACAUUGGGACUGAGACACGGCCCAAACUCCUACGGGAGGCAGCAGUAGGGAAUCUUCCGCAAAGGACGCAAGUCUGACGGAGCAACGCCGCGUGAGUGAAGAAGGUCUUCGGAUCGUAAAGCUCUGUUGUUAGAGAAGAACAGCGCAUAGAGUAACUGUUAUGCGUGUGACGGUAUCUAACCAGAAAGCCACGGCUAACUACGUG
Molecule: ribosomal RNA, 501 nt
Filed under: uncultured bacterium
Lineage: Bacteria
Description: partial 16S ribosomal RNA
Rfam family: Bacterial small subunit ribosomal RNA
Source: RNAcentral